Scylla paramamosain (green mud crab) is the source of this 2354-nucleotide long non-coding RNA. RefSeq lists it as uncharacterized. The transcript is spliced from 2 exons. Lineage: Eukaryota; Metazoa; Arthropoda; Malacostraca; Decapoda; Portunidae. The record is from RefSeq and is a predicted model, not a curated record.
UUGCUGUUGGCGAUCACAACAACAGGAAGCGACUGUGAAAUAGGCUCCUAUACACCAUUCGGUUGUUAAAACGAAACACGCACACACACACACACACACACACACACACACACACACACACACUCCACCUUCAAGAAACAUCAGGCCUUAACUUCACAGAAGAGGACUGCGUGGAAGGAUCAAUACCAUUUCUGUACAUAAUCAAACAAGAAGACACUUUCAACACAAACGUCUACAUACACCCCACAAACCAAGAACACUGCCUUAGUGGAAUAAAUCGAGUGCCCACAACGCUACAAAGACUCCACCAUCGGCGCAUACUUAGAAGAGCCUUAAGGCACUGCAGCACAUGGAAGCAAAUUCAUAACGAAAUAGAGCGCUCAACCCACGUACUUAUCAACAAUGGUUUCUGCGAAGAAAACUCCCAACGACAAAUAAAGAAAAUUCCUGACAUCUGGUUUAACACACGCAGUAAGGAUGAAAACAACAAAGAAAAAAUCAACUUGUACUACAAAGCUACGUUUUCCACAACAUACAAAGAAGAGAGAAAAAUGAAGAACAUCGUGAAGAAAAGCAUCAAGUCCACCAACCCAAACAAAACGUUCAACUUCGUAAUAUACUACAAAACAUAGACUAGCCAUCUACUCAAGAACAGCCCAAGCAAAGACAAAGAGACACUUCAGAAAUCUCAUGUUAUUUAUAGGUUCACGUACAACAGAGGGAACUGCGAAGCCCUCCCAUCAACCUACAUUGGCAUGACAACGACGAGGCUGUCCCGCCGCCUCUGCUAGUAUUUUGCCGCGGGGGCACCCGAAAAUCACCUAAAGCAAAUACACAAUACCACUCUCACAAGAAAGAUUUUAUAAGAAAAUACAACCAUCAUCAACCACCUGCAGCGACAACACACGCCUCACAAUAAUGGAAACAUUAUACAUAAAAGAAAUAUUCCCCAAACUCUACAUCCAGGCAGAGGAUCUCCAAACCCUCCCCAGAGUGCCACGCGAAGCAGUGAACAGCCAAUCAGACAUGAGGGACCGUGCUCGCACUACACAGAAAACGAAAUAUAACGCGGCUCCCUCACUUCCCAAGCCAUUCGCUCACCAGCGUCCAAAGGAGUAGGACGUCCAACUCUCCUUCAUACUUCCCUUACUUUUACACUUCUCUGUCCAACCCCUUCCAGACCUCCAUCUUUCCAAAAAGGAAAAAGAAGAAAAAAAAAAAAAAUCCACGCCUAGCAUCUUGCCGAAGGGGCACCUAUAAGAAUCACCUAGAGCAAAUACACACCACCACUCUCACAAGAAAGAUUUAGGAAGAAAAUACAAGUAUCUGCAGCGACAACAGACACCUCACGACAAUGAAAGCAUUAUGCAUAAGAGAAAUAUUCCCCAAACUUAAAUCCAGGCUGAGGAUCUCCAAACCCUCCCCAGUGUGCGACGCAGGCAGUGAACAGCCAAUCAGAAGAUAGAACGUCUCGGCCAUUCAGACACGAGGAACCGCGCAGGCACCAAAUACAAAAACGGAAUAUAAUGCGGCUCCCUUACUACCUAAGCCAUUCGUCCUCCAGCUACCAAAGAAGCAGGACGUCCUGCUCCGCUAAAGAAGGUUCAGGUGAGCCGGAAUCUGGAUAUGGAAAACCUAUACGAAACUGCCUGUCAUAAACACGCUUACAAAAGAAUUAAGGACAUUAAUAAGAAACAAAAACACGUGCAAGAUGAUAAAUGUUGAGUCAGCAGUCACAUCUAAUGAAACAACUACGGUCCUGUUGCCUCGGUAAGGUUUGGCUGAAUGCGGGAUAUAAUGCGGCUCCCUCACUACCAAAGCCAUUCGCUCUCCAGCUACCAUUCAGACACGAGGAACCGCGCAGGCACCAAAUACAAAAACGGAAUAUAAUGCGGCUCCCUCACUACCUAAGCCAUUCGUCCUCCAGCUACCAAAGAAGCAGGACGUCCUGCUCCGCUAAAGAAGGCUCAUCAGAUGAGCUGAAAUCUGGAUAUGGAAAAGCUAUAAGAAACUGCCUGUCAUGAACACGUCUACAAAAGAAUAAAGGACAUUAAUAAGGAAUAAAAACACGUCCAAGAUAAUAAAUGUUCAAUCAGCAGUCACAUCUAAUGAAACACAACUACGGUCUUGUUACCCCAAGAGUGUUGACAACGUAGGGUUAGUAAAGUGCCGGAGACAAGCCCCUCCUGCGUUGUGAGCGCCCCGCCCACCACGGCGGUGACGCCAAUCCACCUGUACGGCCAUUAGGUGGAUGCGGCCCUCAAUAGUGUACGUAUCCGUGGGAGGCUAUAAGAAAAAAAUAAAACAAAAGAAAAAUUAACAAAAUAAAUAUCUGAAAAAAAUGAAAAAAAAAA